Molecule: ribosomal RNA, 505 nt
Filed under: uncultured bacterium
Lineage: Bacteria
Description: partial 16S ribosomal RNA
Rfam family: Bacterial small subunit ribosomal RNA
Source: RNAcentral
GACGAACGCUGGCGGCGUGCCUAAUACAUGCAAGUAGAACGCACAGUUUAUACCGUAGCUUGCUACACCAUAAACUGUGAGUUGCGAACGGGUGAGUAACGCGUAGGUAACCUGCCUGGUAGCGGGGGAUAACUAUUGGAAACGAUAGCUAAUACCGCAUAAUAUUGAUUAUUGCAUGAUAAUUGAUUGAAAGCUGCUAUUGCAUCACUACCAGAUGGACCUGCGUUGUAUUAGCUAGUAGGUGAGGUAACGGCUCACCUAAGCGACGAUACAUAGCCGACCUGGGAAGGUGAUCGGCCACACUUGGACUGAGACAACGCCCAGACUCCUACGGGAGGCAGCAGUAGGGAAUCAUCGGCAAUGGACGAAAGGCUGACCGAGCAACGCCGCGUGAGUGAAGAAGGGUGUCGGAUCUUAAAGCUCUGUUGUAAGAGAAGGACGGGUGUGAGAGUGGAAAGUUCACACUGUGACGGUAUCCUACCAGAAAGGGACGGCUAACUACGUG